CCUACGGGUGGCAGCAGUGGGGAAUAUUGGACAAUGGGCGAAAGCCUGAUCCAGCCAUGCCGCGUGUGUGAAGAAGGCCUUCGGGUUGUAAAGCACUUUCAGUGGGGAAGAAAGCCUUGGGGCUAAUACCCUCGAGGAAGGACAUCACCCACAGAAGAAGCACCGGCUAACUCCGUGCCAGCAGCCGCGGUAAUACGGAGGAUGCGAGCGUUAAUCGGAAUUACUGGGCGUAAAGCGCGCGUAGGCGGUCUGAUAAGCCGGUUGUGAAAGCCCCGGGCUCAACCUGGGAACGGCAUCCGGAACUGUCAGGCUAGAGUGCAGGAGAGGAAGGUAGAAUUCCCGGUGUAGCGGUGAAAUGCGUAGAGAUCGGGAGGAAUACCAGUGGCGAAGGCGGCCUUCUGGACUGACACUGACGCUGAGGUGCGAAAGCGUGGGUAGCAAACAGGAUUAGAUACCCUUGUAGUC
Molecule: ribosomal RNA, 465 nt
Filed under: Vreelandella stevensii
Lineage: Bacteria; Pseudomonadati; Pseudomonadota; Gammaproteobacteria; Oceanospirillales; Halomonadaceae
Description: partial 16S ribosomal RNA
Rfam family: Bacterial small subunit ribosomal RNA
Source: RNAcentral